UAGGGAAUCUUCCGCAAUGGACGAAAGUCUGACGGAGCAACGCCGCGUGAGUGAUGAAGGUUUUCGGAUCGUAAAACUCUGUUGUUAGGGAAGAACAAGUAUCGGAGUAACUGCCGGUACCUUGACGGUACCUAACCAGAAAGCCACGGCUAACUACGUGCCAGCAGCCGCGGUAAUACGUAGGUGGCAAGCGUUGUCCGGAAUUAUUGGGCGUAAAGCGCGCGCAGGCGGUCCCUUAAGUCUGAUGUGAAAGCCCACGGCUCAACCGUGGAGGGUCAUUGGAAACUGGGGAACUUGAGUGCAGAAGAGAAGAGCGGAAUUCCACGUGUAGCGGUGAAAUGCGUAGAGAUGUGGAGGAACACCAGUGGCGAAGGCGGCUCUUUGGUCUGUAACUGACGCUGAGGCGCGAAAGCGUGGGGAGCAAACAG
This 428-nucleotide ribosomal RNA is filed under the name uncultured bacterium. Its description in RNAcentral is "bacterial SSU rRNA". It matches the Rfam family "Bacterial small subunit ribosomal RNA", at positions 355 to 775 of the family's 1533-position model. The record is from RNAcentral.